RNAcentral lists this ribosomal RNA (576 nucleotides) under Karenia brevis. RNAcentral's name for it is "partial Bacterial small subunit ribosomal RNA". It matches the Rfam family "Bacterial small subunit ribosomal RNA", at positions 957 to 1533 of the family's 1533-position model. The record is from RNAcentral. Lineage: Eukaryota; Dinophyceae; Gymnodiniales; Kareniaceae.
CAACGCGAAGAACCUUACCAGGGUUUGACAUAGUACGAAGUUUUUUGAAAAAAAAACCACCUUCGGGAACGUACAUACAGGUGGUGCAUGGCUGUCGUCAGUUCGUGUCGUGAGAUGUCAGGUUAAGUCCUAGUAACGAACGCAACCCUUAUCCUUAGUUAAUUAUAUGUCUAGGGAAACGGCCAACGAUCAAGUUGGAGGAAGGAGAGGAUGACGUCAAGUCAGCAUGCCCCGUAUGUCUAGGGCUACAAGCGUGCUACAAUGACUAUUCAACAAAAAGUCGCAACUUUGUGAAAGGAAGCGAAUCUACAAAUGAGGUCACAGUUCGGAUUGUAGGCUGCAACUCGGCUACAUGAAGUCGGAAUCGCUAGUAAUCGCUGGUCAGCUAUACAGCGGUGAACUUGUUUCAGGGGUUUGUACACACCGCCCGUCACACCCCUGAAGUUGACUAUACCAGGCGUCGUUGUCUUAACCACACAUAUUUUUAAGACGGAAGACAACGAUAAAGGUUGUGUCGGUAACCGAGGUGAAGUCGUAACAAGGUAGCCGUACUGGAAGGUGUGGCUGGAAAUCUUU